AAGCUCGUAGUUGAAUUUCGGGAUCGACGGGUCGGUCGCGCCUCCGGUGUGUACUGGCCCUGUCGGUUUCUCCCUUCUGACGAACCACGAUGUCAUUAAUUUGGUGUCGUGGGAAAUCAGGACUGUUACUUUGAAAAAAUUAGAGUGUUUAAAGCAGGCAUUCGCUUGAAUACAUUAGCAUGGAAUAAUGAAAUAGGACGUUUGAUCUUAUUUUGUUGGUUUCUAAGAUCGACGUAAUGAUUAAUAGGGAUAGUUGGG
Molecule: ribosomal RNA, 258 nt
Filed under: uncultured Glomeromycotina
Lineage: Eukaryota; Fungi; Glomeromycota
Description: partial 18S ribosomal RNA
Rfam family: Eukaryotic small subunit ribosomal RNA
Source: RNAcentral